Zingiber officinale is the source of this 2239-nucleotide RNA transcript. It is a transcript of the gene named probable NOT transcription complex subunit VIP2, with no coding region annotated. NCBI's taxonomy places the organism in Eukaryota, Viridiplantae, Streptophyta, Magnoliopsida, Zingiberales, Zingiberaceae. The transcript has 13 exons. The record is from RefSeq and is a predicted model, not a curated record.
UGAAUAAUGGUUUUUUGAACCCCAGACCGGUACUUCCGAACCGGGUGCGGUUCCUCUCAGUUCUCACCGGACUCCUCACCGUGACGAGAGCCGGUCGGGUCAUCGGAAAUUCGGAAUGCUUCAUCUUUUUUAGUUCCCUCUGCGUUCCCAGAUCCACGCCGCGGAUUGGAGUCUGUGGAGAUCUCACUCACGCCUCUCGUUCUCCGGCGUCCGCGAGACGAGACCUCGUUCAUUUUCUUGAAUUCGUUUGCUCAGGUUAUGCCUAGCAGCCAAUUGGGAAUCUAGAAUAUUUUUAUUCACUCUGACAUAAUGAAGGAGCACUGUUUUGGAGCUGAUUCCUUGGGCGCUUGAUACAAAAUUUAUAAUGUCUGGGCUUUUAAAUCCAACACUUAAUGAUCCGGCAUCAAAUCUCGAUUCCUCAGGCCGUCCCUACACUACAUCGUUUUCUGGCCAGUCUAAUACAACACCUGGAUUUCAUCACUCCGGUGCUCUGCAAGGGUUGCAUAACAUUCAUGGAAGCUACAACCUACCAAACAUGCCUGGUUCAUUUGCAUCAAGAAAUGUAACUAUAGGUGCUGCCCCAUUAGGUAGUUUUCAGCAACCAGGGGGAAGCAUUUCUAGUGGGCGGUUUGCAUCAAACAAUAUUUUGGUUGCAUCGACUCAGAUGACUCACGGCCCUGGUGUCUCAAAUAGAGGGGGUAUUGAUGUUGGAAAUCAUUCUUUUGGUAGUAGUAACAUGAAUGGAGUUGGUGGGUCAAUUUCUGGCCUGUCCUCUAGUUCAGCUACUGGUAACCGUAGUUCUGUUCCUGGUUUGGGGGUAUCUCCUGCUUUGGGUAAUGUAGGCCCACGACUUGCAAGCACUAUGGGAAACAUUGUUGGUGGCGAUAACAUGGAAAGAAACAUCAAUUCUGGAGGAUUAUCCAUGCCUGGUUUAGUCUCGCGUGUAAAUUUAGCUACAAAUAGUGGAUCUGGGAACUUCAAUGUACAAGGACCCAACAGACUGAUCAGUGGCAUUCUCCAACAGGGUGGCAGCUCAGAUUUUUCUGUGGAUUUGCAUCAGAAGGAACAACUUCAUGAAAGUAUUUCUACCUUGCUGUCUCCUCAUUUACCUAUGACUAGAUCUACUGGAUUUAGCAUAGGAGGGACUUUCCCACCUAAUCGUCAACAACAGCAGUUGCAUGCUACUGCAGCUAGUAGUGGCGGACUUCCAUUUACACCUGGAAACAAUCAAGAUCUACGCUCACAUGGCUCUGAUUUCUUUCCUUCAUCUCAUGGGAAAUAUCAUUCACGGAUUCAAAACAGUGGAGCCCCUAGGAUCGGAAUGAGACAAUUGAACUCUCCUGCUUCUGGUAUGAGUGCAUAUGAUCAGCUGAUGCAGCAAUAUCAACAACCGCAAGGCCAAUCUCAAUUUCGACUACAGCAGAUACCUGAUGUUAGUCAAUCCUAUAGGGAUCAGAAUGUUAGGUCAACUCCAGGGUUACAAAUUCCUCCUGAUCCAUUUGGUUUACUGGGCUUGUUGAGUGUUAAUAGGAUGAACAAUCCUGAUCUAUCAUCUCUUGCGAUAGGAAUUGAUUUGACAACACUAGGACUGAACUUGAACUCAUCAGACAAUAUUCAUAAAACAUUUGGUUCUCCAUGGUGUAAUGAGCCUGCAAAGGGGGAGCCUGAUUAUUGCGUUCCCACAUGUUAUUAUGCCAAACCACCUCCUUGCCUACAUCACAUAUAUAUCUCGAAAUUUCAGCUAUCGACCCUGUUUUACAUUUUUUAUAGUAUGCCAAAAGAUGAAGCUCAACUUCAUGCGUCUUAUGAACUACAAAUCGAAUGCCGUGCCUUCUGUUCCUUGUCCAAGGAAAUAUGUGAGCUCCAGUUUGUUAGCAUGUAUUCUCGAGGUUGGUUAUACCACGAAGACCUACAGUUUUGGUUUAAAAGAGUUCCAAACACCGAGCCUCUUGUGAAGGCCCAUGCAUAUGAAGGAGGAUCAUACCUAUGUUUUGAUCCGAGCACGUGGAGAACAAUUUCGAAGGUUUGACAUAUGAAGGAGGAUCAUACCUAUGUUUUGAUCCGAGCACGUGGAGAACAAUUUCGAAGGAGCACCUCGUUUUGCAAUAUGAAGCAGUGGAAAAGGAACCAAUACUCCCAUCUCAUCAUCUUUAGGAUCAACCAAAAACAGGUCCUUGUAAAACAGAUCUUGUCACUUUUAGAAUAAAGCAUUCCAAUCCAAUUCUUCUCUUCUUCCCCA